CUUGAAUUGUAGGACCAUGUGACACUUUGCCAUGUAUACCAGCAGAAACGCAAAGGGCCGCUCAAUUACACAGUUUAUUCUCCUCCCAGGCAAGAUCUCUUGGGUAAUUUCGUGCCUGAAGACUAUGGUGAGGAUGGAUUGUUAGCCGCUAUUUCGCCAUUCUUCCGUCAGAACUUGAACAGCCAGAAUCACCAAGCGGCAAACAAUCAGGAGGCUGUGCUACCGACGGCAAAGCGCAAAUCAGGUGUUUGGAAUGAUUUCACCAAGAUAUACGUGAAAGAUCCUGCUGUCAAUCUCAAACAAGAGUACGCGAUGUGCAACUCCUGCCACAUCUUGCUAAAAGCUCCUUCAAGUAACGGCACAAACACCCUAUGGAAACACACCGGAACCUGCGGAUGUAAACGCCUGCAGGCUGCAGCAGCAAACACAGUAGCCACCACCGGACUGGUGUUCUGAAAUGCUAGACUAGCAGAAAUCACAGGACGUACGCAUUUCGACGCG
Molecule: non-coding RNA, 501 nt
Organism: Lolium perenne
Lineage: Eukaryota; Viridiplantae; Streptophyta; Magnoliopsida; Poales; Poaceae
Source: RefSeq, a predicted model, not a curated record